GACAGAGGGUGCAAACGUUGUUCGGAAUUACUGGGCGUAAAGCGCGUGUAGGCGGCUCGGCAAGUCGGGUGUGAAAGCCCUCGGCUCAACCGAGGAAGUGCGCCCGAAACUGCAGAGCUUGAGUACCGGAGAGGAUGGCGGAAUUCCCCAAGUAGAGGUGAAAUUCGUAGAUAUGGGGAGGAACACCGGUGGCGAAGGCGGCCAUCUGGACGGAUACUGACGCUGAGACGCGAAAGCGUGGGUAGCAAACAGG
This 253-nucleotide ribosomal RNA is filed under the name uncultured bacterium. RNAcentral's name for it is "partial 16S ribosomal RNA". It matches the Rfam family "Bacterial small subunit ribosomal RNA", at positions 524 to 776 of the family's 1533-position model. The record is from RNAcentral.